GACGAACGCUGGCGGCGUGCUUAACACAUGCAAGUCGAACGGAAAUGCCCUGCUUUUGUGGGGUGCUCGAGUGGCUAACGGGUGAGUAACACGUGAUUAACCUGCCCUUGACUUUGGGAUAACUUCAGGAAACUGGGGCUAAUACCGGAUAGGAGCUCCUGCUGCAUGGUGGGGGUUGGAAAGUUUCGGCGGUUGGGGAUGGACUCGCGGCUUAUCAGCUUGUUGGUGGGGUAGUGGCUUACCAAGGCUUUGACGGGUAGCCGGCCUGAGAGGGUGACCGGCCAAAUUGGGACUGAGAUACGGCACAGACUCCUACGGGAGGCAGCAGUGGGGAAUAGUGCACAAUGGGCGGAAGCCUGAUGCAGCAACGCCGCGUGCGGGAUGACGGCCUUCGGGUUGUAAACCGCUUUCGCCUGUGACGAAGCGUGAGUGACGGUAAUGGGUAAAGAAGCACCGGCUAACUACGUG
RNAcentral lists this ribosomal RNA (468 nucleotides) under uncultured bacterium. RNAcentral's name for it is "partial 16S ribosomal RNA". It matches the Rfam family "Bacterial small subunit ribosomal RNA", at positions 28 to 507 of the family's 1533-position model. The record is from RNAcentral.